Molecule: long non-coding RNA, 933 nt
Filed under: Sorghum bicolor (sorghum)
Lineage: Eukaryota; Viridiplantae; Streptophyta; Magnoliopsida; Poales; Poaceae
Description: long non-coding RNA (SBIC_LNC007004)
Source: RNAcentral
CAACCAACUUUUUUGCAAUCUUUUCUAAAUAUUUUUGUUAUUUUGAAAAUAUGUUGUAUCCCAAAAAAACAAAAUUAAAAAGAUCAGACCCAAUAAUACUUACGUAAGAAAGAAAUUAAUUAUGUUUAAUUCUUCUAAUUCUUUAUUGAGCUCUAAAAAUAAUUGAGGCGUAUUUUAAAGUGUGAUCGCUCCAUGUGAUAGUUUUUUAGUUGUUAGAGAGCACUCCGCUGUGUGACCUAGUGCUCCACCGAAGUUAUUCGGUGCUCAAGCAGAAGCUGACUCAGGGUAAUGGUGUUGGAUUCUUGAGUGAGCUAGGGUAGCCGGCCUUGGUAUCCCUAGCACUGGUUUACAGUCUUAGAAAUCUAAGCAACACAAUCCAUUCACUUGCAUCAUUUUGAUUCAUAUUUUGGUGAGAUUGGAUAGCCUCUAGUGCAUUUGCAUCGUCGACUUGCAUCUCGUGGCACUAGUUGAUCAUGGAGUCUGUUGGUGUUCUUAUUACUUUUGAUGAUUUGUCGUCAUCUAUAUGCUUAAAGCUCGUGGGAUCAUUGAGGAGCUAUCGGUGAUUGAUGUUGCCUCAUAUCAACCAAUUGUAAGGGGCUUGUAGCAUUGAUGAGACAGUAUAACCGACCCAUGUUUCUAAUAGUACAAAGACAAAAAAGUAAAAGAAAAAAAAGAAAACGUUAGGGGUUAUUUGGUUCCUAGCUGAAUCUUCCAUAUGAGCUAUAGCGUCGCCACAUUUUGUGACGUCCAAAAUAGUUGCCACACCUAUGACGUAGAUUUGUACUAGAAAAAUCUAUGAUCGCCACACUCAUGACCAAACACCCUCCUUUCUAUGCAUAGCGAAUCGUAAGCGAGCACCCUCUUCUUCAUGGAGGCGGAGGAUUAUGGUUUUUCUGGGUCUUAGAUUUUCUUAGGUGUUAUUCGUUCUCGGCU